RNAcentral lists this ribosomal RNA (420 nucleotides) under uncultured bacterium. RNAcentral's name for it is "bacterial SSU rRNA". It matches the Rfam family "Bacterial small subunit ribosomal RNA", at positions 355 to 774 of the family's 1533-position model. The record is from RNAcentral.
UAAGGAAUAUUGCUCAAUGGGAGAAAUCCUGAAGCAGCAACGCCGCGUGGAGGAUGAAGGGUCUAUGACUUGUAAACUCCUGUAAAGAAGGAAAAAAUUCCCAUUAAAUGGGAGAUGAUGGUACUUCUGGAGUAAGCCCCGGCUAACUACGUGCCAGCAGCCGCGGUAAUACGUAGAGGGCAAGCGUUGUCCGGAUUUACUGGGUGUAAAGGGUGCUCAGGCGGAUUUGUAAGUCAGAGGUGAAAUCUUACAGCUUAACUGUGAAACUGCCUUUGAUACUGCAAGCCUAGAGUAUGGAAGAGAGUGAUGGAAUAUCGGGUGUAGCAGUGAAAUGCGUAGAUAUCAGAUAGAACACCAAUGGCGAAGGCAGUCACUUGGUCCAUUACUGACGCUAAAGCACGAAAGCGUGGGUAGCAAACA